UACGUAGGAGGCGAGCGUUGUCCGGAAUCACUGGGUGUAAAGCGCGUGUAGGCGGCCUGCCAAGUCUGCUGUGAAAGCGCCUGGCUUAACCGGGCGAGGUCGGUGGAAACUGGCGGGCUGGAGGACGGUAGAGGGGGGUGGAAUUCCCGGUGUAGUGGUGAAAUGCGUAGAUAUUGGGAGGGACACCAGUGGCGAAGGCGGCUCACUGGACCGGAACUGACGCUGAGGCGCGAAAGCGUGGGGAGCAAACAGG
This 253-nucleotide ribosomal RNA is filed under the name uncultured bacterium. RNAcentral's name for it is "partial 16S ribosomal RNA". It matches the Rfam family "Bacterial small subunit ribosomal RNA", at positions 524 to 776 of the family's 1533-position model. The record is from RNAcentral.